RNAcentral lists this ribosomal RNA (777 nucleotides) under uncultured Neocallimastigales. Its description in RNAcentral is "partial large subunit ribosomal RNA". It matches the Rfam family "Eukaryotic large subunit ribosomal RNA", at positions 24 to 644 of the family's 3401-position model. Lineage: Eukaryota; Fungi; Neocallimastigomycota; Neocallimastigomycetes; Neocallimastigales. The record is from RNAcentral.
UACGACUACAUAUCAGGCAUAUCAAUAAGCGGAGGAAAAGAAACUAACUAGGAUUCCCUCAGUAACGGCGAGUGAAGCGGGAAGAGCUCAAAUUUGAAAUCUUCAAGGUUUUACCUUGACGAAUUGUAGUUUAAAGAAGUGUUUUCUGUUGGAGUUUUGGUAAAAGUUCUUUGGAAUAGGACAUCAUAGAGGGUGAGAAUCCCGUAUUUGACCAUCAUUUCCAGCUUUGUGAUACACUUUCAAAGAGUCGGAUUGUUUGGGAAUGCAGUCCAAAAUGGGUGGUAUUAAUAUUUCAUCUAAAGCUAAAUAUUGGCGAGAGACCGAUAGCGAACAAGUACCGUGAGGGAAAGAUGAAAAGAACUUUGAAAAGAGAGUUAAACAGUACGUGAAAUUGUCAAAAGGGAAGCGUUUGACACCAGUGUUGUUUCUACGAAAAUCAAUUUAUGAUGGCUUGAUGCUAAGCUUUAAGACUUUAUCCGCUUGUUGUUUAGUUUUCUUGUCUUUGUGAAUGCACUUUUCGUGGAACAAGUCAACAUCAAUUUCUUUUGCUGUAAAAGGGUAAGAGGAAGGUGGCUUCGGCUUCGGUUGAAGUGUUUAUAGCCUUUUAUCUCUGCAGUCGGAGAGAUUGAGGUCUGCAGCGUAGACUCUUCGGGGUUAGAUACGUCGGUGCUAAGCUAUAGCUUUUCAUAGACAACUUGUUGACUAUGUUUAGUCAUGUGGCUUACCCGCUGGCGCUAUUUUACCUACGCUUAGGAUGUUGACUGAUAUGUAGUCGUA